RNAcentral lists this long non-coding RNA (452 nucleotides) under Oryctolagus cuniculus (rabbit). Its description in RNAcentral is "lncRNA (ENSOCUG00000039198.1)". The record is from RNAcentral. Lineage: Eukaryota; Metazoa; Chordata; Mammalia; Lagomorpha; Leporidae.
AAAGAAGAGGAAAAAAAAUGCCACUUGGACUCAAAAAGACGUUGUUGCUGCCAAACACAUGAUUUUUGCACAUGAGUCACCGAGGUGCAGAGGGAAGAAGCAAGCCCUCAAGCUGGCUCCAAAGCCAUGGCAUGCUGCACCAAACGCCCCGUUCACUGAGUGGCUCCCAAGUCCCUUCCCCAAGGCGGGAGGUGCCGAGCCUUGGGGAGCUUGGGUUUUCUGUCUCCGUGGGUCUUUCAGUGUUUAUGCCCUGGGCAGCACCUGCUCACAGGGGCCUUCCUGGAGGGCGUGACCUGGCCUCUCACAGGUGUGUGCAGCUCACUCUCACACAGGAACGGCCCCCAGCCCACCCCACGAGACACGGCCACCGCUCCGGAGACAUGGUGUGUUUUCCCUCAGUGCUAGGAAUGAAAUUUUCCAUCAGAUUCGCAUUUCCAAAGUGUUUUAUGUGA